UACAGAGGGUGCUAGCGUUGUUCGGAAUCAUUGGGCGUAAAGGGCGUGUAGGCGGUUUGUUAAGUCAUGUGUGAAAUCCCUCGGCUCAACCGGGGAACGACGCAUGAAACUGGCAAGCUAGAGUACCAAAGAGGGGGGUGGAAUUCCCGGUGUAGCGGUGAAAUGCGUAGAGAUGUGGAGGAAUACCGAUGGCGAAGGCAGCCUCCUGGGCCAACACUGACGCUCAUGCACGAAAGCGUGGGGAGCAAACAGG
Molecule: ribosomal RNA, 253 nt
Filed under: uncultured bacterium
Lineage: Bacteria
Description: partial 16S ribosomal RNA
Rfam family: Bacterial small subunit ribosomal RNA
Source: RNAcentral